This 903-nucleotide long non-coding RNA is filed under the name Mytilus galloprovincialis (Mediterranean mussel). Lineage: Eukaryota; Metazoa; Mollusca; Bivalvia; Mytilida; Mytilidae. The record is from RNAcentral.
AGCGGACACAAGUGAACACAACGUAAUUUCUAUAUAAAACUUAUAAAAUCUGCUGGCUACAGGUGGACACAGCUAGACACAGUGCUAUUUCUAUAUAAAAGUUCUAGAAAUGAGGGAGAUACAGGCGUACACAAGUGGACACAACGUAAAUUCUAUAUAAAAUUCUAUAAUUGGGGGGAUACAAGCGGACACAAGUGGACACAACGUAAUUUCUAUAUAAAACUUAUAAAGUCUGCUGGCUACAGGUGGACACAGCUGGACACAGUGCUAUUUCUAUAUAAAACUUCAAAAAAUGGGGGCUAAAGGCGGACACAAGUGGACACAACGUUAUUUCUAUAUAAAACUUAUAAAAUAUGCAGGCUACAGGCGGACACAGCUCGACACAGUGCUAUUUCUAUAUAAAACUUCUAGAAAUGAGGGGAUACAGGCGGACACAAGUGGACACAACGUAAACUCUAUAUAAAACUUUAUGAAAUAGUAGGAUACAAGCGGACACAAGUGGACACAACGUAAUUUCUAUAUAAAACUUAUAAAAUCUGCUGGCUACAGGUGGACACAGCUGGACACAUAACUAUUCCUAUAUAAAACUUCUAGAAAUGGGGGGCUACAGGCGGACACAAGUGGACACAACGUAAAUUUCUAUAUAAAACUUUAUGAAAUAGGGGGAUACAAGCAGACACAAGUGGACACAACGUAAUUUCUAUCUAAAACUUAUAAAAUCUGCUGGCUACAGGUGGACACAGCUGGACACAGUGCUAUUUCUAUAUAAAAGUUCUAGAAAUGGGGGGGGGGGGGGGGGGCUACAGGCGGACACAAGUGGACACAACGUUAUUUCUAUAUAAAACUUAUAAAAUCUGCUGGCUACAGGUGGACACAGCUGGACACAGUGCUAUUUCUAUAUAA